This 79-nucleotide transfer RNA is filed under the name Camelus ferus (Wild Bactrian camel). It matches the Rfam family "tRNA". Rfam says of the family: Transfer RNA (tRNA) molecules are approximately 80 nucleotides in length. Lineage: Eukaryota; Metazoa; Chordata; Mammalia; Artiodactyla; Camelidae. The record is from Rfam by way of RNAcentral.
GAGGGUAUAGCUCAAGUGGUAGAGCACAUGCUUAGCAUGCACAAGGUCCUGGUCCUGGGUUCAAUCUCCAGUACCUCCU